RNAcentral lists this ribosomal RNA (292 nucleotides) under uncultured bacterium. RNAcentral describes it as "partial 16S ribosomal RNA". It matches the Rfam family "Bacterial small subunit ribosomal RNA", at positions 505 to 796 of the family's 1533-position model. The record is from RNAcentral.
GUGCCAGCCGCCGCGGUAAGACGUAGGAGGCGAGCGUUGUCCGGAUUCAUUGGGCGUAAAGAGCACGCAGGCGGUUUGGCAAGUCGGAUGUGAAAACCCGAAGCUCAACUUCGGGCGUGCAUCCGAAACUGCCCGACUAGAGGUAGGUAGGGGAGAUCGGAAUUCCUGGUGUAGCGGUGAAAUGCGCAGAUAUCAGGAGGAACACCGGUGGCGAAGGCGGAUCUCUGGGCCUUACCUGACGCUCAGGUGCGAAAGCUAGGGGAGCGAACAGGAUUAGAUACCCUUGUAGUCC